This 492-nucleotide ribosomal RNA is filed under the name uncultured bacterium. Its description in RNAcentral is "partial 16S ribosomal RNA". It matches the Rfam family "Bacterial small subunit ribosomal RNA", at positions 29 to 507 of the family's 1533-position model. The record is from RNAcentral.
AGUGAACGCUGGCGGUAGGCCUAACACAUGCAAGUCGAACGGCAGCACAGUAAGAGCUUGCUCUUACGGGUGGCGAGUGGCGGACGGGUGAGGAAUACAUCGGAAUCUACUUUUUCGUGGGGGAUAACGUAGGGAAACUUACGCUAAUACCGCAUACGACCUACGGGUGAAAGCAGGGGAUCUUCGGACCUUGCGCGAUUGAAUGAGCCGAUGUCGGAUUAGCUAGUUGGCGGGGUAAAGGCCCACCAAGGCGACGAUCCGUAGCUGGUCUGAGAGGAUGAUCAGCCACACUGGAACUGAGACACGGUCCAGACUCCUACGGGAGGCAGCAGUGGGGAAUAUUGGACAAUGGGCGCAAGCCUGAUCCAGCCAUGCCGCGUGGGUGAAGAAGGCCUUCGGGUUGUAAAGCCCUUUUGUUGGGAAAGAAAAGCAGCAGGUUAAUACCCCGCUGUUCUGACGGUACCCAACGAAUAAGCACCGGCUAACUUCGUG